GGGGAUACAAGAUAUGAGAGAUACAAUGUAAUGAUAACCAGAAGAGUCAAUAUGCCUUUAACCGUUAAAAACAAUUAAGCAUAAUGAAGAAAAUUGCACAACAUCACCCUUCGUGCUUUUACUCUUGUUGGCCCAAGAAUAGGUGAAGUUUUGAAGAAUGACAAAUGAACUCAGCCAUGGACCAGGUCCAUCAUGUGAAGCACAACCAUGAUCAACCUACAUAUGUGAGAUGCACAUGAAGGAGAUAAAUCCUAUUGAUCAAGCAAAAAUAUCUUCUGAUCUGAUCGAAAAGGUUGCAUAUUGGAUACGGUUAGAAGAUCUCCUUAUAUGAAGAGAACACAAUCCAGAUAAAGAUAGUAUUGGAGUUUGAGAUCUCCAAGGACUCAACUAUGAUAGAAGAUCAGCAAUUGAGUCCUAAUCAAACUUUGACGACUAACCUAUAUAAAUGAUAGUGAUCGUUCUCUUUUACAGGUGUUGCACAUUCGCAGAAGUUAAACUAAAUUGUGAGCAAAAAAGCAAGGCGAUUUUGCAAGCAAUUUAUGUAAUAUUUGAGUGUGCGCUAUUGAAUCUAGAAGCUGCCGCAUCGGUUGAGGCUGUGUGCUACAACAGUAUUACAGUUAAUCCUUAGGUUUACAAAGAGUUUUGUAAAUGCUGUUUUUGCCUAGUGAUUUUAGUGAAAGUUUGAAAAAAUCCUACCGAGUAGUAGGUCGUGGAUUUUUACUUUUUGAGCAAGGUGUUUUCUACGUAAAAAUCUUUGUGUGUUCUUUAUUUUAUGUACUUAUUAUUCUGCGAACAAUAGUGUUAGUACACCUAGAAUAACCAGAUUCUUCUAGAGCGAAAAUUGGGUACCAUAAAAGUUACCCCCCCUCUUGUGUGGUAUUGAAGUGAAGAACAUCAGUUGGUAUUAGAGCAGGUUAUCCUUGAAGAAGCUAACACCUUAGGAAAAGAUCAACAUGAGUGCACCACCUGGGAACUGGGAAGGGCAAUCCACNNNNNNNNNNNNNNNNNNNNNNNNNNNNNNNNNNNNNNNNNNNNNNNNNAUGAGUGCACCACCUGGGAACUGGGACGGGCAAUCCACUGCUAGGCAUCCACUCUUUAAUGGUUAGUACUAUUCUUGGUGGAAGAACAUGAUGUGGGAUCACAUAAUAGGUGAAGACUAUGGGAAAUAAUCACUUAUGGUCCUCUAGAAACUAUUAAGAAGAAUGAUGAAGGAGUGGAUGUGCCAAAGAUAAAAGCUGACUGCACUGCAGAAGACCUGAAAAAGUGGGAGGAAAAUUCCACAGCCAAGAAAUGGUUUGUGUGUAGAUUAGGUCCAGAUAAGUACAGUAGAAUUCAAAGCUAUACCACUGCUAAGGAAAUCUGGGACACUUUUUAAGUGGCUCAUGAAGGAAUACCUCAAAUGAAAAGGUCCAGAGGAACACUGCUGUAUUCUCAAUAUGAAUAUUUCACCAUGAAGGAAGGAAAAACUAUCAAAGAGAUGUAUACAAAUUUCACCACACUAACAAAUGAACUUAAGCCUCUUGGAAGGAUUAUUCUUGAAGAAGACAAAGUUGAGAAGAUUUUGACAAGGGUUCUGUCAGUCUCUUGGGAAAGCAAAAUUACUUCUAUUCAAGAAUCAAAGAAUAUUGCUACCCUCAGGCUGGAUGAACUAGUUGGAAACCUUACUGCCUAUGAAUUGAGAAGGCAAACCAUAAAAAUGGAUGCGCCCAAGAAGGAAAGAAGUCUGACUCUAAGAAUUGCUGAAGGUUCAGAUCUGGAGGAUGAUGAAAUGGCUAUGAUCACAAGAGAUUUCAAAAAGUACCUAAUGAGAGGAAAGGGUUCUUCAAGAGGUACAACCUUCAACAAACAAGGGCUCCUGAGAGACAGACCAAUGAGGGUUGAUACAAAUGUGGUAAGACUAAUCACAUGAUCAAGAAUUUCCUCAAUGAGAAAUUGAGUGGAAGAAGGAAAGGGCUGAACGAAGGAACAGGUUCACCAAGAAGGAACAAAGGCUAUGGUUGCUGUCUGGGGGGAAACAUCAGAUGAGGAAUCAGAAGGUAAAGCUGGAGAUGAACAAGCAAUUAAGUCCAUCGGAGAAUCAGAUGAUGAACAAGAGGUAAGUAUUCUUCAUCUCAAAGACAAGAUUAAAUUCCUGUCCAAAGAAAGGUUGUCUGAGCUACUGCUAGACUUCAUUGAUGAGUCUGAGAUAAUUAACAAAGAGAAGAAAGAUCUGUCAAGGGAAUGUGUUAUCCUAAAAUCCAAGGGCAAAAAUCUAGAGUCUAGGAAUAAUUAGAGUGAAAGCAAUAAUGCUGAGUUGAAGAACCAGGUUCUUGAACUUGAUACUAGUCCUAGAACUUUGGUCUGAGAACUUAAAACCGAAACUAGGAACAGGAAAGAAGAAAAAUGAUCACACAUAUCUCACCCUAGAAGAAAACUUAGGAAAAAUGAAAUAUGAGUUGUACAACAAGGAUGAGCAGAUAAGAGUAUUAAAAGAAGGGCUAGGGAAGGUAAAAGAUAAACUAGAGAGAACCUGCAAAUGGAACAAGGCUUAUGAUGCACUCUCCUGGCUAUAAGAACAUCACAAUAGCAAUAAAAGAGGACUUGGCUAUAGGACUCAAGCACCUAAGUUGGAUCCUAAAAGAAAGUACCUCACUCUUCCUAAGAACAAAAUCUGCACACACUGUGGCAAGACUGACCAUUACAAAAAUAAACGUAAUGCAAAAAAAAAGACCAGUCAAAAGAACAAAGCUUUUGUUCAAGAAAAUAUUAGGCUGCCUGGGUGGAGUAGAAGGAAUCUGGUUUAUCCCUUUGCCUAUAGAAAGGGACCAUAAUAGUUUAGCUUCCUAGGACUAACCCCUGAUUUCUUUUUGUAGGUCCAAAUGAAGGGACGUAGCCAAAUAUGGUACAUGGAUAGUGGAUGCUCGAAACAUAUAACUGCAAGCAAGAACCAGUUCCUUUCACUUGAGGACUUAAAGGGAGGUAAUGACUCAUUUGGAAAUGGGAAGAAAGGUGAGAUUAUUGGUGUUGGAAAGGUAGGUAAAAUAGACUCUCACUCCAUUGAGAAUAUCUACCUGAUAGAUGGCUUGAAAUACAGCCUUAUCAGUGUGUUACAACUGUGUGACAAAGGUAAUCUUGUAGCAUUCACCUCUACUAAAUGCUUUGUGAUUAACCUUACCACUGACAAAAUUGUUUUGCAGGGAAAAAGAGUUAAUAAUAUUUACAUUGUAGAUUUGUAUACUCUCUCUGAAAAAGAACUAAGCUGCCUAAGUGUGUUGGAUAAUGAUCCCCUCUUGUGGCACAAAAGACUUGGUCAUGCCAGUCUAAAUCAGCUCAACAAAUUAGUCUCUAAGGACUUGGUGAUUGGAUUACCUAACAUCAAGUUCAAGAAAUACAAAGUUUGUGAGGCCUGUUCAAGGGGGGAAGUAGGUAAGGACAUCCUUCAAAACCAAAAAAAUGGUACGCAAUCCCAAGUCAUUAGAACCGGUCCAUAUGAAUCUCUAUGGUCCGAUGAGAACCAUGAGCAGAGAUGGAAAGAAAUAUGUACUGGUUCUAGUUGAUGAUUAUUCUAGAUUUACCUUGGUACUAUUUCUAACAUCUAAAUUUGAAGCCUUUGACAUGUUUACUACCUUUGUUAGAAAAACCAAGAAACAAUUAGGAAUUCAACUUGCAUUUAUUAGGUUUGAUCAUGGAACUGAAUUUGAAAAUGCUAAGUUUGCUGAAUUCUAUGAUGAAAAUGGUAUAGAUCAUUAUUUUUCUACCCCUAGUACUACUCAAAAAAAUGGAGUAGUUGAAAGAAAGAACAGGACUCUUGAAAACAUGGCUAGGACUAUGCUUCUUUCUAGUAAAUUGCCCCAUAUCUUGUAGGCAAAGGCUGUAAACACUGCAUGUUACAUUAUCAAUAGAUGCAUGAUUGGACUCUCAUAGAGAAGACUCCCUAUGAGUUACUUAAAUGGAGAAAACCAAACAUAUCCCAUCUUAGGGCAUUUUAGUAGAAAGAAAUAAUAGGACUCUUGAAGAUAUGGCUAGGACUAUGCUUCUUUCUAGUAAAUGUCCUUACAGUUUCUUGCCAGAAGCUAUAAACACUGCAUGUUACAUCAUCAAUAGGUGUAUGACUAGACCUCUUGUAGAGAAGACUCACUAUGAGUUACUUAAAGAGAGAAAGCCAAAUAUGUCCCAUCUUAGGGCAUUUGGAUGUAAGUUCUUUGUGCACAAUAAUGGAAAAGACUCCCUAGGUAAGUUUGAUCCCAGAAGUGAUGAGGGAGUAUUCUUAGAAUAUUCUUCACAUAGCAAAGCAUAUAAAGUGUUUAUUAAAAGAACGUUGUGUGUAAAAAAAAGUGUGCAUGUAUUAUUUGAUAAAACCAAUAUUCUUUCUGAGAGAUAUGAACAUGAAAAUGAAGCCAUUAGAUUGGUAAAGGAUUUGACUGAAGCCUCAGCACAAGUCAAAGUGGCACCAAUAGAAGGAACAGGUGAUGGAACAAGUUCCUCUAUUCAGGGCAACCUGACAGGGGGAACAAAUCAAAGAGGGAUUAAAUUAAAUCCUCUAAAACAACCAGUUCAUGACCUUGUUCCUCAUAAACAGAACAUGGGAGAAGCAUCCAGUAGGAACCAGCUGGUUAUGAAACAUCACAAGUAUCAAAGUUCUCAUCCUAUUGAGAACAUUAUCAGUGAUCCAACAUUUGGAGUCAAAACUAGAUCACAACUAAAGAAUCUGUGUGCUUUUGAUUUCUUUUUAUUUUUUGUUGAACCUAAAAAUGUUGUUGAGGAUUUGCAGGAUGCUGAUUAGGUCAAUGCAAUGCAAGAUGAACUCAAUGAGUCUGAGAGAGGUCAAGUUUGGUAUCUAGUUCCAAGACCCAACGAUAGAUCAGUUAUUGGUACAAAAUGGGUCUUUAGGAACAUGCUUGAUGAAUGUGGGAUAGUUACAAGAAACAAGGCAAGACUGGUGGUCCAAGGCUACAACCAAGAGGAGGUCAUAGAUUAUGAUGAGACUUUUGCUCUAGUUGCAAGACUACAGGCAGUUAGACUCCUCAUAAGCCUUUGCAGCACACAUGGAAUUCACUCUUCAUCAGAUAGAUGUCAAAAGUGCCUUCCUAAAUGGCUACCUGAAAGAAGAAGUGUUUGUGAAAUAACCUCCAGGGUUUAAGAGCAAGGAAUGUUCUGAGCAUGUGUACAAAUUAGACAAGGCUCUCUAUGGACUCAAGCAGGAUCCAAGAGCACGGUAUGAACGAUUGUCCAAAUUUCUACUUGAACAUGGCUACAAAAGAGGUAAAAUUGACAGUACCUUAUUCCUAAGGGAAAAAGGUAAGGAUCUCCUUUUGGUAGAAAUAUAUGUUGAUCACAUAAUCUUUGGGGCAACACUGAUAAGCUAAGUAAAGACUUUGCAAAACUAACAGGGAGUAAGUUUGAAAUGAGUAUAAUGGGUGAGCUUAACUUCUUCUUAGGCUUACAGAUCAAACAAAGUGUCACACUUCCUUCUUCAUUACUACAUCCCGGAAAAUGUAUAAUAAAGGAAGUUUUUUCCAAUUUAAGUGACAAUCGAAACGUGAUUAAUUAUUAAAAACCAGAGUCGCCACUUGGGAUAAUUUAUGGUGUCCCAAGCCACCGAUUUAAAAUCCCGAGUCGAGGAAAGAAUGACUCUAUUAUUAUAGUCUGCGACUAAAAAAUCCGGGUAAGGAAUUCUGUUAACCCGGGAGAAGGUGUUAGGCACUCCCGAAUUUCGUGAUUCUAGCACGGUCACUUUGAUAAUACUUGGCUUAUUAAAAUGAUUGAAUUACUGAUUUUUAAAUCUAUGUGCUUUUGCUUCUUUUACCAUUUUUAAUUAGAAAAUUAUCUUGAAACGAGUUACGCGUACGUAUGCCCGCUUGUUUGGCGUGUCAAAAAUCAUGUCACGUGAACGUGUCCAUAAUUAAUAACGCUUAAUUAGUUUUAAGAAAAAUUUUUGGCCGAAGUUGCGCGAACGCAUGCUCCAGUUUUGUUUUUAUAAGUGUAAUUAUGUUAUGCAGACAUAUACGCAAUCACACUAGUAUUUUAAACGGCCCUAAUGGAUGUUCUAUGAAAUAUUAUAUUUUUUCUUAACCUAAGAAAUUACUAAAAGACCAUAUAUGACUUAAUGAACUUGCGUAAAAUAAAAUUAUUAAAACUUGUCACCUACUUUAUCUUUAAGAAAAGAUUGGUCGAAGUUGCACGAACGCAUACUCCAGAUUAAUUUAGAAUCGUGGUCGUAUUACGUGAACGCAUACGCAAUCACAAAUGUAUUUUAAACGGCCCUGAAGGCUUUUCUACAACUACUAAUUGUUACAUCUUUAUCACGCCAUGCAGACAUGGAUAUGAUAAUAACAUUUUUUGAUUCAAAUAAAAUAACAGACAAGCAGGAUGCAUAUCAUAAUAGCAUUGUGCGACAACAACAGUAUCCUUUACUGGCUUUGUAAUUUCGCUAAUUACAACAUGCUCCCAUGACUUCAAUCGGCCAUUUGUUUUUUUUACAGAAUAUAUCAGCACUUAUGAUUUACAAUGCAAGAAAGAGUGAUAUUACAGUAAUACUUCAUGAAAAUUUAAAGUUUUCUCUAAAACUAAAUCAUGAUGAACAACGAUAAAUUCAAACCUUAACUAUUCAUGGAAUUGACUUUCAUAACUACUGAAAAUAACUAAAUUAUCUGGAGAGAAAAACCAACCUAGAGCGAAAAACUAUUAUUGUUCAUGGAUUAAAAGGGAACAAACGUGUUCUUGCUGAAGCUUCAAACCAACAAAAUUAACAAGAGAUGGAAAACUAGUUUAUGCUAGGAAUGAAACAGAUGGCUAAGUCCAAUGAGUGAAAUCACCUAAAGAUCUAAAUCUACAAACCUAACUUCGACAUUUCUUAAAAGCAAACUUAUCUAGAUCCAAGAAAACUAAGAUUCAAGGAAUAAAACAAGAGGUAAAAAAACAAGUACGUCAAACAUAGUUAAAGCAAAAACUCGAACACUCACUUGGAAGAUUUAAGCCUACCCAAUGCUAAAACUUCUAACAAAUAUCUAAAACAACAAUCCCAAAUCAGCAUGAUUUCUAACAGUUUCAACAGUCCCUCUCAGAUUUAUAUUAUAAAUGACAUAAUCAGAUGAUUUUAUCUUAGCUGAACCAAAUGUCUAAUAUGUACAUAUACAACACAAAAAAAACUAAAAUAGCAGAACCAGUAAACAGAAAACUAAGCAUAUGCUUUCAUUCCAUCGUCAAACCAAGUUUACAUCUUGAGAGAUUAGGAUUUGUACCUGGAAGUUGAGAUAGAAACAAGGAUAAGGAGACAAUUAACACAAAGGUGAUCUAUAGAAGUAUAACAUAGCCAAUGACACCAACAGUAAAUCCCAGCUUCAAAUCUCAACAAUAACAGCCGAUAUACAGAUCAGAUUAGACUCAAAUAUACCCUUUCAACCGGAAUUUAAACCCAAAAACCCUUUCAAAUCACCAUGAAGGAACUCAAUGUAACAGUAUUUGAGUUUUUUGGUUUUGACUCCAUUGUUUUAAUUUUUUAUGGAUUCUGAAUCUCUCUCUUUUUUUUUGUAUUCCCAGAUUUCCAAGUCAAAAAGUUUAGCCUCAAAAUUCAAUGUAAAAGUAGUUUUUGUUUUUGUGUGUUUUCUGUAUUUUUUAACUAAUCUCUCUUGCCUUGGAUGGCAAGAC
Molecule: long non-coding RNA, 7626 nt
Filed under: Nicotiana benthamiana
Lineage: Eukaryota; Viridiplantae; Streptophyta; Magnoliopsida; Solanales; Solanaceae
Description: long non-coding RNA (NBEN_LNC014539)
Source: RNAcentral